Non-coding RNA from Picea glauca (white spruce), 120 nucleotides. NCBI's taxonomy places the organism in Eukaryota, Viridiplantae, Streptophyta, Pinopsida, Pinales, Pinaceae. The record is from Rfam.
ACAUGCCUACAACAUAAUAUUAAUGCACCGGAUCCCAUUAGAACUCCGCAGUUAAGUGUGCUCAGGCUAGAGUAUACUAGGAUGGGUGAUAGCCUGGGAAGUCUUAGUGUUUUACAUGCU